This 775-nucleotide ribosomal RNA is filed under the name uncultured Neocallimastigales. RNAcentral describes it as "partial large subunit ribosomal RNA". It matches the Rfam family "Eukaryotic large subunit ribosomal RNA", at positions 23 to 647 of the family's 3401-position model. Lineage: Eukaryota; Fungi; Neocallimastigomycota; Neocallimastigomycetes; Neocallimastigales. The record is from RNAcentral.
AGAGAGAGACAUGCGCGCAUAUCAAUAAGCGGAGGAAAAGAAACUAACGAGGAUUCCCCUAGUAACGGCGAGUGAAGCGGGAAGAGCUCAAAUUUGAAAUCUUAAAGGGUUUCCCUUUACGAAUUGUAGUUUAAAGAAGUGUUUUCUGUUGAGGUUUUGGUAAAAGUUCUUUGGAACUAGGACAUCAUAGAGGGUGAGAAUCCCGUAUUUGACCUUUACUUUCAACUUUGUGAUACACUUUCAAAGAGUCGGAUUGUUUGGGAAUGCAGUCCAAAAUGGGUGGUAAAUUUCAUCUAAAGCUAAAUAUUGGCGAGAGACCGAUAGCGAACAAGUACCGUGAGGGAAAGAUGAAAAGAACUUUGAAAAGAGAGUUAAACAGUACGUGAAAUUGUCAAAAGGGAAGCGUUUGACACCAGUGUUGUUUUUCUGAAAAUCAAUUAAAGAACUGUUUAUGCUAAGCUGUUUAGACUUUAUCAGCUAUCUGUUUAGUUUUGAGCUUUUCUUUAAUGCACUUUUCAGUUAACAAGUCAACAUCAAUUUCUUUUGCUGUAAAAAAGCUUGAGGAAGGUGGCUUGAGAUUCGUCUUAAGUGUUUAUAGCCUCUUGCCUAUGCAGUCGGAGAGAUUGAGGUCUGCAGCGUAGAUCCUUCGGGGCUAAAUGCAUUUGUGCUAAGUUAUAGCAUUUUAUAGACAACUUGUUGACUAUGAUUUGUCUUGUAGCUUACUCGCUUAUGUUAUUUUACCUACGCUUAGGAUGUUGACGCAUGAGAUAUACGC